Molecule: ribosomal RNA, 180 nt
Filed under: uncultured Glomeromycotina
Lineage: Eukaryota; Fungi; Glomeromycota
Description: partial small subunit ribosomal RNA
Source: RNAcentral
GGAUCAGUACGCUGGUCGUGCCUUCGGUAUGUACUGGUGUUACUGGUUCCUACCUUCUGACGAACCGUCAUGUCAUUAAUUUGGUGUGGCGGGGAAUCAGGACUGUUACUUUGAAAAAAUUAGAGUGUUCAAAGCAGGCAAUCGAGCCUUGAAUACUUCAGCAUGGGAUAAUGGAACAGG